CACAAAAUGAGGGCACGCAGGACUUGAAACUGGAAGCUUUUUUUCUGGCUCCUCACACAAGCCAAGAACAGAAAGCUGAAGCUGCAGUGCACAUGGACGAUAGGGUCACAAUUUGGAACCUACAGAUUGAAUCCAUAGCUCCAACCUGCCUUGCGUCAACACUCCAAGUUGGUGUCGGUGGUUCAAUGGUGUGAGUAAUGUUUUCUUGGCACACUUUGGGCCCGUUAAUACCAAUUAAUCAUAGCUUGAAUACCACACCCUAUUGAAGGGUUGUUGUUGAUCAUAUGCAUCACUUCAUGGCCACAAUUUACCAUCUUUUAAUAGCUACUUUCAGCAUGAUAAUGCUGUAACAAAGCAAAAAACUAGUUUCAUGAAUGAGUCCUGUGUUAUUUGAUGGCCUUUCCAGUCAGUGGAUCUAAAUCAAACAAAUUCAGAUGGAGGAACGGAAGUUUUGCAGCCUGAAAGUGCACCUGAAUAUUUUGCAGGAAUUGUGUGAAGUCAACCUGGAGCACAUGCCACAAAGGAAUGUUUCCAACAUCUUGUGGAAUCCAUGCCAAGAAGGAUUGAGGCUGCUCUGAGAGCAAAGGGAGGCCCUAGCUGGUGUUAUAGUGUUCUUUAUAAAGACUUCUUUGAAGUUUUCGAAAUGCCUGCAGAUAAAACCAUAGUCUGCCUCAUCCGAGAUGGAAAGACGGGAAGAUAAACCUCUGGGAACCACCAUCUCUAAGAAACUGAAAGGGGAAGCUAGCAUCGACUGUAUUGCUUAAAAGUCUGAGCAAAAAAAAAAUUUGAUUCCUGAGAUAGCUGAGGAAGUUCAACCAACCACAGAAGUCUGUCUUUGGCACCUCAUCAGCAGUCUGCUUUGGCACUGUAACCAAUAAUUAGCUGAACAGGCUGCAACACAUUGUCGAGUUAGCUGAAAUGCUCAUAUGAAGAUAUCUGUACUCUUUGACCACCACAUACUUGAACUUGUUCCCUCCAGCAGCUCAGUGUGUAUUCAAAUCCACCAGACUUAAUAGCUUCCUUCCCAGAUGCAAUCAGAUUUAGGAGCACUUCAUUUCCACACAAAUAUAGAGAGUCACUCUAAGCAUUGUGUUUUGUGGUCAGUGGUUUUUCAGUGUAGUAUUCUUCUUCAGUAUUCUUAUAUGUCUUCUUCUUCUUCUUCUUCUUCUUCUUCUUCUUCUUCUACUUUUAAAUAGCAAAUUAAAUAGAUAUAUUGUAAAGCCUACCUAUUAAUAUUAUUAUAUUAAUAGGUAGACUAUAAGACACAUUUUUUGUACAUGUCUAAGUGUUUAAUUAUAUGACCAGUGUUCUAUUGUAUUAAGUGAAAGCACAAUUCUGUACCAUUUUGCUUGUGUCUUUGUCAGGGAAAAUAGCUCAAAUGAAUGAAGCGUAUGAACAAAUACCAAAACACUCUUUGCUAUAUUUGUAAUAACUAGUCUCAUUUCAUUAGCAAGGUCAAACAAAAGCCUUUUACUAAGAUCAUUUUGUUUACUUAACUAAAGGCUCCGCUGUAUUAAGGUCAGUAGGGACCAAACAAUGAGUGAGGAAGAAAAAUACAGUUAUGCAAAAGCAGAAUGCUAUAUAGUGAAUUUCUGAACCGAAAUCCACUUGUAUUCAGUUUGAUAUAAUGCUGAUAAAGUUUAAACAAACCCAGCAGGUUUUAAUAUAAGCAUAUGGUUUCUGUCCUCAUGACUGCAUAAACAUUUAACAAUUUCCUGGUGUAUGUCCCAGGAACUGAGGGAAAGUUUUCUGUCCAAGAAUGACAGCACAAAGAAAAUGAAAAGAGCUAGGUUUUUAUCAGCUCCGUUUGCUAUUUUUCUUUAUUUUCAAUAUUCCGAUCCAGUAAGCUUCAACGAGUAUUCAUUAUAAAAAAAGAGAAGAUCAUUUAAAAUGGAGAUGCUUGAUGUGUAAAAUGUAAAUGAAUGAACCUCCUACUCAUAUCCCUGCCUUUAUUUUUUAAAAUUGUUAGAUUUACAACUAUAGAUUAUGUUCAUAUGCUUAACACACAACGCUUAUCAGUGUUGACUCAAGUUGCAGUUAUCUGAACGCUAUGCAUAUCAUUUUUACUACUUUGAAUAAAUCUUUUCUUCACACAACUUAGUAGGCAAGUGACUCUCGACAGUAUUCAUCUGAUAUUUUUGCUAAAUGGUAGCAACCUGCAAGAGACUGAAAUAAAUUUCUGUAUAUUUUUGUCUGCUGCCCUCCUGUGGCCAUAAAAGCCCAUGUAAAAUCUUACUUUCAAAGGCUAAUUGAGAUUCACCAGCAGAGGUGAUCAAAAAAAUACCCAAUUUCUUUACUCACGUAAAUUGUAAAUGCAAAUAAUUAUCUAAAUAACGCUUCAGAUUUGUCCUCUAAUUAAUGCUGAACUGAACUUAGUAAAAGUACUAGGAAAAGUGACAAAAGAGGUCUGCCGUAAAUCAUCAUGAUUUUAAUUUCUGAUGGUAUCAACAUGGAAAAACAUGGGACAACUAAAGCUUUUUUUUUUUAAAAAAACAAAAAACAAAAACAGCUUUAUUCCUAAUGUUGCCUAGCACGAUAACCUGAAUGCUAAAGGUUAGUGUACAAACAGCGAACUGUACCGUUUACACUCUCGGACACCCAAAUUGUACAGUACAUCUGUGGCUGUGAAAGCCUUUGCUUCUUGUUUUUUUUUUACUGUUUAGUAAUGGAACCCAAUCUGGUCUUCUGUUGUUGCAGCUGAUCCAUCUUAAGUUUAAUAUUUUGUCCAUGCUGACCAUGGUGGUAAAAAAAAGAAGUAGCCUUUAUUAUUGCCACACAUACAGCUGAAUUAUUUUCUUCACAUCUCCCAGCUGAGGAAGGAAGUAGGGGUCAGAGCACAGGGGCAGCUAUGAUACAGCCCUUCUGGAGUAAUAAGGGUUAAGGGCCUUGCUCAAGGGCCCAAUAGUGGCAGCUUGGCAGUGCUGGGGCUUAAACCCCAAUCAACAACCCAGAGCCUUAACCACUUGAGCCACCACUGCUCUGAUUAUCAAGAUAAUUUGUGCUACUGUAGACUUCUUGGCAACUAGAACUAAUCUGCCCAUUUUCCUCUGACCUCUCUUAACAAGAUGUUCCCACCACUCUGCGUAAACUCUAGAGACUGUUGUAUGUGAAUAUCCCGGAUUAGCCAUUUCUGAAAUAUGUAAACCAGCCUCUCUGGGACCAACAACCAUGCCACAAAGAUUUUUCAUAACUUUCCGGUGUUCUGAAGCUCUUGAUAUACAUCUGUAUAAUUUGAUUCAUUAUGCUGCUGACAGUGAAUGCAUGCAGUACAAGAUAGAUUACAUUAUUAGUAUUGGGUCUUAUUCUUACAGUCAGGUGUUAAGGUUUGGAUUUGCUAGGAAAUCAGAUGAACAAGUGAGAGAGUUUGAAAGUGUAGCAAGUAGAAGGAAAACAUUUCUUUUAAAAUGUAGUGUCAAAACCAAGCACAGAUAUUUAACAACAGAUUUAAGUACAAUAUCAAUCUAAUUAUAUUUUGUUUCUUCUCACAUGAAACUUUAUUGGAGAGAUAUUUACGUUCAGAGAGAUUAGUCCUUAUCUGAGUAAAAAACCGCCCAAAAAAAUCGAAAUAAAAGCUCACAAUAUUUUUUAUGCAAUCAUUUUAUUUAAAAAAAAUCAUUCAACAAAUGUGCAAACCAACCAAU
This is an RNA transcript of Hemibagrus wyckioides, 3641 nucleotides long. It is a transcript of the gene named atypical chemokine receptor 4a, with no coding region annotated. The record is from RefSeq and is a predicted model, not a curated record. NCBI's taxonomy places the organism in Eukaryota, Metazoa, Chordata, Actinopteri, Siluriformes, Bagridae. The transcript is spliced from 3 exons.